UUUCCGUAGGUGAACCAGCGGAAGGAUCAUUAUUGUAUCAACCAAAUUCGAGAACUGUCGCUGACACACAAGGUCGUGCACGCCCGAGUGCCCUCACACACAUCCCUCUCACCCCUAUAAGCACCACCGCGUCGGUCCCCCUAAGGCUUGGUCGGAGAGGGGCGUACGUUUUCACACAAACUUUGAAAUCAGUGUAGAAUGUAUUUAUUGUUUUUCCGAUCACGCGAUCAAUACAACUUUCAACAACGGAUCUCUUGGCCACCGCAUCUAUGAAGAACC
RNAcentral lists this unclassified non-coding RNA (279 nucleotides) under plant metagenome. RNAcentral describes it as "partial contains small subunit ribosomal RNA, internal transcribed spacer 1, and 5.8S ribosomal RNA". The record is from RNAcentral.